Molecule: RNA transcript, 755 nt
Organism: Lolium rigidum
Lineage: Eukaryota; Viridiplantae; Streptophyta; Magnoliopsida; Poales; Poaceae
Exons: 3
Source: RefSeq, a predicted model, not a curated record
AGUAAUGCAUCAAAAGGAACAAAAAUUAUCACUAACUUUGUAUAUGACCAGAUAUACAGAAAGCAUGCUGAACAACAAGGUAGACAAGGUAUAUGUCUUCCUUUCUUGCACUUUGCCCUGUAAGAGGAUUGAUGAAAUCAUUUUAAUUUGCUUCCUUGUCUCCAUUAUCCUGUUUUGGUGGUGGUGGUGGUGGUGCCGUGCCGUGCUAAUUGAAAAAUAAAGCAUGCUUACUGGUGCAUUACAUAUGUAUCCAGAUCUGUGCUGAACACUCGUAAUAUUAGUUUAGCAUGUUUCUGCUCCUUAAAGAUGGAUGAAUGCUAGGUUACAUUUGUGUAGGGUUAGUGAAAGGAGUGAAACCAUUGGAAUGACAAGUGAUUUGUUCUCGAUGGGAGAUGAGUUCAUCACCUAUAAUCAAUGUUAGCUCAGGCAGGCUAUUUUAGUCAGUUUUGUUCUAAUGCAAAUAAUGCAUGAUAAAUCCAAUGACAAUUCCUUAUGAGUCCUAUGCAUUUUACAGUGACAAUUCUCCUUAUUUACAAUCUGCCAUCAAUGAUCCUGGCAAAGUUACUGGCCACCCUCUUGUCCAAUUGAACACAAAUUCUUGCUUGAUUGUGUGGACUGGACGAGGAACUAGCAGGGCAUGUGGAUGGAGCAAACCUUCCAAGAUGCUCGGUGUAGGUGCGGCUCUCCACCCUGUUUCGGCGGCUGCAGCGGCGACGGCGAGCGGCUCUCCUCCCUGGAGCCUCAGGUGGGGCGAC